UAGUUUGCAAAAGCAAAUCUACCUUACUAUAGGGCUAUGAAACUCCGUAAACAAUGAAAGUAAAAGUAUCAGUUUAAAGCAAGCAACUAGAGAGAAUAUUGCAUAAACCUGUCCCUCCAUGUCCGCCACUCACCACUCCAUUUAUUGAUCACCAACAUGUUCACAAUAGAGCCCACUUCUCACUCUUAAAGCUCUCUCUCCUCCGUCCCCCUCUCUUCUCCGUUUAUAUCUCUCUCCACCUUCCCUCUACUGCAGACUCUCUCUCUUGACCCAAAAUGCAAGAAGACAAAAUAAAGAUGCGGACAAAUCUGAAGAUCCAAGAGGGAUCCUGAGGGAGAGCGACGAUAUAGAAAAUCAGGGAGAGUUUCUGGAAAUGAAGAUAAACUUCCAUAAAUAGAGUCCAAAUCGAGAAAGAAGAUGAAGGGGAGCCGCUUCGAUUCAGAUAAAUCUAGAAAACAGCCCCAUCAGCGGGAUCAAAACCAAGAAGAGGGCUUGGCUCGGUAGUCGGCAUUUUGGAAAAGUAUUGAAAAUUUGGAUUAUGUGGAAGCAUGGUUUUAAUAUUGAUGAUAAUUCUUUU
RNAcentral lists this long non-coding RNA (577 nucleotides) under Eucalyptus grandis. Its description in RNAcentral is "long non-coding RNA (EGRA_LNC001490)". The record is from RNAcentral. Lineage: Eukaryota; Viridiplantae; Streptophyta; Magnoliopsida; Myrtales; Myrtaceae.